UUUGUCGGAAGUAUUGAGAGUUUAUAUUAUGUUCAUUCUAUCUGUUGACAUCCUUAUCCUGUUGUAAAGUUUGAAUAAAUUUGAUGUAAACAAGAUUACUCUGUUCUACUUCUCGGCGAAGGCCGCCAAAGUUGUUACCUUGUGUUGGCAAGUGUUGAUUGUAGCGGUUGCCGGGUGCCCCCGGGACGCUCGCAACAUGGCGGAGAGUAAUCACAUCUAAAAAGUAACAAAACUGGAAAAAAAAGAAACAGCCAAAUUGACAAGUGCAAUGCGUCCGCGUUAGCGCCCCAGCCCCUCCCUCAUCAUGACCACCAGCGGCUUCAUCACCACCUACCGCAAUGACUUCCUGUGGCCCUUCGUCCGAACUGCCCCCCUCAGGCCGGGAUGCCAGGGCGUCCGCUACACCACGGUGCCCUCCCCCGAGCAGGCCCUGGAGCGGGGGCUCUGCCUGGAGGAGUACGAGCGCCUGCUGGAGGCGCGGCGGCGCUGUCAGGCGGAGGCGGAGCAUGCCGUGGAGCUGCACGCCGGCCGAGCUGGCCCGCACACGCCGCCGCUCGCCUCGCUGGGCCACGCCGGCAACGCCCCCGCCCCCCACGGCUACUGCCUGCCGCCCGACCUGCAAGUAGCGCGCAACGACCGCGCGCAGGAGAACCUCAAGAUGCUGCAGGAGAAGCACCCCUACCUGUUCAACAUGAUCCGGUCCUGCCCGCCUGACGACCUGGUGGCCAGAGUGUUCAAGGACAGGUACCGCAGCAUCUACCAGGUGGACUACUGCAAGCAAGGCGAGUACCCCAACAGCGAGUACGACGCGCUGGUGGCCGGCUCGGGGCUGGCGGGCUCCGCUCCCGGGGCGCUGCCCUACUGCCCCUGCAGGUCGGCCAACAGCUCCUCCGACGGCGGCCGCAUGGGCGUCGUGUCCCUCGACCGCAACAGGCAGUUGCAAAUGUGCGAGAUGGCGGCGGAGGAGACGAAGAGCAGCGACGGCGACAUCGAGGUGUGCUUGUGCGGCCUGGUGCCCAAGCGGCCGCAGUUCGCGCGCAAGUGCGCCAUCUCCUGCAAGGCCAAGAGCCGCAGCCGGCCGCGCGAGGGCAUGAUGGGCGAGGGCGGCGACCUGAACCAGUACCGCACCGAGUACCGCGACAGCUACAGCAAGCUGGGGGGCAUCAUCCUGGCCGAGAACAUCCACUGCAACUCGCGGGCCCGGCGACCCGGGACGUGACCUCCAGCGACUCCCUUUCCCCCCACCCCACCCGUCUGGCCAAUAAAGAUGUGAUUACUCAGUGUCGUGACUGCAUUGUGUAUCCACGUUGGAGUUGGGGGCGCCCUUCCCUGCGGGGCACACCACAGUGGUCAGGGCACACGGCACGGG
RNAcentral lists this unclassified non-coding RNA (1369 nucleotides) under Thrips palmi. Its description in RNAcentral is "uncharacterized LOC117653375, transcript variant X2". The record is from RNAcentral. Lineage: Eukaryota; Metazoa; Arthropoda; Insecta; Thysanoptera; Thripidae.